GAUUCUGGCUCAGGAUUAACGCUGGCGGCGUGCCUAAUACAUGCAAGUCGAAUGGUAGCAAUACCAUGGCGAACGGGUGAGUAACACGCAGGUAACCUGUCUUUAAGCUGAGGAUAACCAUUGGAAACGAUGGAUAAUACUGGAUAGGACAUUUGAAGGCAUCUUUAAAUGUUUAAAGAUUUAUCACUUAGAGAGGGGCCUGCGGCGCAUUAGCUAGUUGGUGAGGUGAAGGCUUACCAAGGCGAUGAUGCGUAGCCGGACUGAGAGGUUGAACGGCCACAAUGGAACUGAGAACGGUCCAUACUCCUACGGGAGGCAGCAGUAGGGAAUUUUCGGCAAUGGGCGGAAGCCUGACCGAGCAACGCCGCGUGAACGAAGAAGUAUUUCGGUAUGUAAAGUUCUUUUAUUAGGGACGAAAAGACAGAUUGACGGUACCUAAUGAAUAAGCUCCGGCUAACUACGUGCCAGCCGCGGC
This 475-nucleotide ribosomal RNA is filed under the name uncultured bacterium. RNAcentral's name for it is "bacterial SSU rRNA". It matches the Rfam family "Bacterial small subunit ribosomal RNA", at positions 15 to 518 of the family's 1533-position model. The record is from RNAcentral.